Molecule: ribosomal RNA, 253 nt
Filed under: uncultured bacterium
Lineage: Bacteria
Also listed under: 1 other name
Description: partial 16S ribosomal RNA
Rfam family: Bacterial small subunit ribosomal RNA
Source: RNAcentral
GACGGAGGAUGCAAGUGUUAUCCGGAAUCACUGGGCGUAAAGCGUCUGUAGGUGGUUUAAAAAGUCUACUGUUAAAAAUUGAAGCUUAACUUCAAAGAUGCCGUAGAAACUUUUAAACUUGAGGAUGGUAGGGGUAGAGGGAAUUUCCAGUGGAGCGGUGAAAUGCGUAGAUCUUGGAAAGACCACCAAUGGCGAAGGCACUCUACUGGGCCAUGACUGACACUAAGAGACGAAAGCUAGGGGAGCAAAUGGG